CUGGCUAGAAUGGUUAACAGCAAGUCAGUUCACUUAACAUGCAGAUUCAAACCAGCAAGUCAAUUCACUUAACAUUCAGAUUAAAAUGGGCACUGAUUCCCACAUUCAGUCUUCUUCUGAUGUACUGAAUCCUUAUUAAAAAAACUCUUGAUAUUCUUGCAAAACAUUAAGGGACAGGAACCCCAAGACUCUCUGUGGAGGGAGAAGAGAAACAAGGCAGGAAGCUAGAGAAGGCUCUAAGGGAAAGUAAGUCCUUUUGUACGGUGGAAAUUCAAGCAGCCAUCAGGAUGCAUUGCAGAGGUUUUCUCUAAAUAUAACAAAGCAAGCAGAAUUGAGGUCAUAUAGAAGUUGAAAAUGAGUCACAAGAAAACAAUGUGACAAGGGAAUGUUUGCGUUUACUUUAUUCCAAGGUAGAGAGACCAGAUUUUGUUCUGCUUUCUUCUCUUCUAAAGAGUAACACCACAUGGUGCAAUCCUUUCUGCAAGAAAUAUGUCACGGGUUAGAAGGGACAAGAAAGAACAAAGAAUCUUCCAUUAGAUGGCUUUAUCAUAGCUUGGCCUUUUGUGGAUAAACAAGACUGUCUUCAGUUCUAUAGCUAAUCUGAUCCAAGAGUAAUUUUAAACAAAUAUUAAGAACAGAAAACUGCAGACAUCAAGAAUGCAUUUUGCACCCUGGAUUAAUAUGAACCAGUUACCAUGCAAGGGCCACACAAGCACAGACAUUAUUAAAAUGGGAAUUUCAAGGGUUCUGGAAGACUUCUAGGCAAAUGCAAGAACAGAAAACAAAAUUCCUAAAAUGGAUGCCAGAGAUGUAGACACGUCAAAUGACUUGCUGAAGAUGAAGUCUAAACCAGUUCUAGAAAUCAAAAAGUACAGUACCCACCCAAAGAUGGAUAUUGCUUCAGAUGUCACCACACCUAAGGUACUUCUAACCCAGCAAAAGUUGAAAGAGUUCAAGACUCUACCUAAUAAUGGAACACCAAGUGAAAUCCCAGGAAGUUGGUAUAUUUGAACAAGGACAAGCAAGUUGAUGAACAGAUGCUUUCAUUUCCUAUUCAGAAUAAGUUUAUGUUAAAUUUUAAUCUCAUUUUGUUUAUUUAAUAUUUUCUUUCACAUUUAAAGUUGUGAAAAAAAAAGAUUUUUAUUAGAGGCAUGAACUAAGUCAACAAAUGAUUACAGAAAUUAUGUUAAUUUAUUUAAGAGAAGAUUCUCUUGGAGCCUUUGGAGCAGAAUUCCCCAACCUUUUGGGGUUGGCGGACUGAAGGGGGGGAGGGGAGAAAGGAUGGUUUUGUGGG
Molecule: long non-coding RNA, 1294 nt
Organism: Crotalus tigris (Tiger rattlesnake)
Lineage: Eukaryota; Metazoa; Chordata; Lepidosauria; Squamata; Viperidae
Exons: 4
Source: RefSeq, a predicted model, not a curated record